Molecule: ribosomal RNA, 449 nt
Filed under: uncultured bacterium
Lineage: Bacteria
Description: bacterial SSU rRNA
Rfam family: Bacterial small subunit ribosomal RNA
Source: RNAcentral
UGCCAGACUCCUACGGGAGGCAGCAGUGGGGAAUAUUGGGCAAUGGGCGCAAGCCUGACCCAGCAACGCCGCGUGAAGGAAGAAGGCUUUCGGGUUGUAAACUUCUUUUGACAGGGAAGAGCAGAAGACGGUACCUGUCGAAUAAGCCACGGCUAACUACGUGCCAGCAGCCGCGGUAAUACGGAGGGUGCGAGCGUUAAUCGGAAUUACUGGGCGUAAAGCGCACGUAGGCUGUAUGACAAGUCAAGGGUGAAAUGCCACGGCUCAACCGUGGAACUGCCUUUGAAACUGUCAAACUGGAGUAUGUGAGAGGGCGGCGGAAUUCCUGGUGUAGGAGUGAAAUCCGUAGAUAUCAGGAGGAACAUCAGUGGCGAAGGCGGCCGCCUGGCACAAAACUGACGCUGAGGUGCGAAAGCGUGGGUAGCAAACAGGAUUAGAUACCCUUGUAA